AGUUGUGGAGCAAAUGAGAAGGGACAGCACUGUCCUGUCAUUAACACGUUCAGAAGAAGUCGGAUAUCCCAGCAAGAUCACAGAAUCACAAGAGUUGGAAGGAACCUCAAGAGACUAUUGAAUCCAACCCCCCUGCUAAGGUCUGACCAACAGAAGGAGUGGCUGCAGUGCAUGCUGUGCCUUUAGUGCACUCCUCAACACGGCACCCAGAAAAUCAAAGUGUGGAAACUGACAGAAUAACCAUUGUGUCGCCCUUUAGCAACUAUCUGCUAAAACAUGGAGGUCGUUCUAUGAAGGUAUGUGUGACUGAAAGCUUAGUUCAAACCUUCCAGUGUGUGUGUUUGUGAUUAAGGACUGGUAUUUAGUAUAGUUCAAAUUGCAAGGACUCUUCUCGCCUCAGCGAUUUG
This 407-nucleotide long non-coding RNA is filed under the name Gallus gallus (chicken). RNAcentral's name for it is "long non-coding RNA NONGGAT003398". Lineage: Eukaryota; Metazoa; Chordata; Aves; Galliformes; Phasianidae. The record is from RNAcentral.